GAUUAAUGAUAUAAGAUUAUCUGAGCCAAUACAUCUAUAUUAUUUACCUAUUUCUCAAAAAAAAUACAUCUAUAUUAUUUUCACUCCUUUUUUAUUUUUAAAUUUUUUUUUUUGCACUUGACCCACUACUAAUUCCUCUGUUACUGCUGCUUGAUUCUUAAUGUUGCCUGUUUUGCUAUUAGUUUUUCUUCUCUUAGUGCCGAUGUUCUUGCAUCUAUUUCUUCUUUUACAUUUAUGGCUAUUGCAAUUUCUAGUGCGGCAUUUAUGGCUAUUGCAAUUUCUGGUGCUGUUGUUUCUGCAACUUCUAAUGAAUCUGAAGUUUCUUUCGUUUUGCUUCUUCUUUUUACCCUUAUAUCAAGUAUUGGAUUCUUUUAUUAUCCAUCAACUAUUUUGCUCUUUCUCUUAUUGUAUUUUUGUACAUAGGACAUAUAUGUGAGUUAAUUUCUAGCGGAGCCUUUUGCAUUAAUUUAUAAUUUUCUUGCUACCGUGAUUGUAAGCUUCACUACAUAUUUUUCUCUUUUUGCAUGGUAUAUUUUUUCUACUGCUUCUUUUCUUAUUAAUUUUGCUCCUCCUUUGGCUUUGUUUAAAUGCUUUUCAAUUGUUUAAAUAUGGUGAGGCAUUUUGGAUGGCAAUUAUACAAUCAUUACAAAUAUUUGUUUCCCUCAGAAACCGGUAAAUCGGCUAUUGAGGUAAAGGUUUUAAAAGUUCCUUUGAUUUUCUCAACUCAAUUCUGUUUAAUUACGCAUUGUGGUCUCAAAUUUUGGUUUUUGAUGGUAAUUGGUUGCAUAUUCCUGUUUAAAAAUGAGAACUUUGUGUUGGGGUGAUUCAAAUUCGUUGUGUUUUGAGCUCAAUUUUGUUGGAAUCGAUAGUUGAGAGCCAUUAAUUAGUUAAAUAGUGUUCUGGUAGGUGAUAGAGUGCUUCAUGUUUGGAUAGUUUCUCUCAGAGUUUU
RNAcentral lists this long non-coding RNA (949 nucleotides) under Ananas comosus (pineapple). RNAcentral describes it as "long non-coding RNA (ACOM_LNC006955)". The record is from RNAcentral. Lineage: Eukaryota; Viridiplantae; Streptophyta; Magnoliopsida; Poales; Bromeliaceae.